Molecule: ribosomal RNA, 500 nt
Filed under: uncultured bacterium
Lineage: Bacteria
Description: partial 16S ribosomal RNA
Rfam family: Bacterial small subunit ribosomal RNA
Source: RNAcentral
AUUGAACGCUGGCGGCAUGCCUUACACAUGCAAGUCGAACGGCAGCACGGGAGCAAUCCUGGUGGCGAGUGGCGAACGGGUGAGUAAAGUAUCGGAACGUGCCCAGUCGUGGGGGAUAACGUAGCGAAAGUUACGCUACUACCGCAUACGAUCUAUGGAUGAAAGCGGGGGAUCGCAAGACCUCGCGCGAUUGGAGCGGCCGAUAUCAGAUUAGGUAGUUGGUGGGGUAAAGGCUAACCAAGCCGACGAUCUGUAGCUGGUCUGGGAGGACGUCCAGCCACACUGGAACUGAGAAAAGGUCCAGACUCCUACGGGAGGCAGCAGUGGGGAAUUUUGGACAAUGGGCGAAAGCCUGAUCCAGCCAUUCCGCGUGCAGGAUGAAGGCCCUCGGGUUGUAAACUGCUUUUGUACAGAACGAAAAGGUUUCUACUAAUACUAGGAGCUCAUGACGGUACUGUAAGAAUAAGCACCGGCUAACUACGUGCCAGCCGCCGCAGUAA